Long non-coding RNA from Coregonus clupeaformis (lake whitefish), 994 nucleotides. RefSeq lists it as uncharacterized. The record is from RefSeq and is a predicted model, not a curated record. The transcript is spliced from 3 exons. NCBI's taxonomy places the organism in Eukaryota, Metazoa, Chordata, Actinopteri, Salmoniformes, Salmonidae.
AGGACAUGGGAUAGAGAUAAACUUGAGGAACAGAUACACCUGUAUUGUUUCAAUUUCUCUUUGCUUCUGAGUAACCUGGUCACACGGCAUAAGACAGAGCCUCAGAGUGACCACAGUUUUUCAGUUCAUCCUGUCUUUUACUAUAUUCCAAGGGCACAGCUGUGUGGAUAUAUGGGCAGUAAGGGAGCUAACGUUAUCACUUAUUUGUGCGCUAUGACCUGAUACAGAUAGCCACAAGAAGAGGAAAAGGUAGUUCCUGAUCUGCCGGGGAGGGGUGGAACCAGCCAUGACUAAGCAUGUUUAGGUCCACUAUAUAAGACGCCAGCAUUUCCUGUUCGUUGGGCUCUCACUCUAUCACUUUGGUGUGGGUAUUGUGACCAGCUUCCUUAUCGAUAGGUUUUUAAUAAAGUUAAUAUUCUGAUUGGUGAUUGACCUGGUCUUUCCUCAUUAUUGAUUAAAAUAUCCACCACAACAUCUAACCCUGGAUCUCACAUUCACAGUACACACCACUAUGCCACUAUAAAUAACCCUGGAUCUCACAUUCACAGUCCACAACACUGUUCCCUGGAUCUCACAUUCAGAAUGUAUAUUUCAUGUUUGCAAUCAUACAUUUGGUCCAUGUUGAAAUGUGUUUUACUUCGAUAGAGAAUUUCUGCAUUUCAACCAUCAAGGAUGGAUUCUCCUUCCCAAGAACAACGGUUGGCUGGUCUGCUUAUUCAGAACAACUGUGUGGUGAGGAGACAACCAGUGCCGGUUUACCAGAAGCCUCAGCAAGAUGUUUGAAUGACACUGGCUCUCCGAUGUUUGGUCCUCCUCACAAGCUGCAGUGUGAAUUAACCCUCAGUGGCAUUCAAGGAAAUAUCUCCAGCAGUUCAGGUGAUUUAGCACAGCUAGCCUUCAGUACUCAGAUCCUGACCUCCCAACCAGAGCUGCUAUCAGCUGACAACAUCACCACAGCAGCUCAGAUAGCUAACACGCUGCUUCAGUCUGCAAA